AUACAAAUCAUCCUGGGAUCUUGUUAAAGUACAGUUUCUAUUCCAGCAGUUGUAGAGCAGGACCUGAGAUUCUGCAUUUCCAACCAGCUCCCAAAUUAUCCUGAU
RNAcentral lists this microRNA precursor (105 nucleotides) under Marmota monax (woodchuck). The record is from RNAcentral. Lineage: Eukaryota; Metazoa; Chordata; Mammalia; Rodentia; Sciuridae.